AUUGAACGCUGGCGGUAUGCUUAACACAUGCAAGUCGAACGGCAGCACGGGAAAGCUUGCUUUCCUGGUGGCGAGUGGCGGACGGGUGAGUAACGCGUAGGAAUCUGCCCAACAGCGGGGGGACAACUCCGGGAAACCGGAGCUAAUACCGCAUACGCCCUACGGGGGAAAGGCGGGGAUCUCUUCGGAGACCUGUCACUGUUGGAUGAGCCUGCGUUGGAUUAGCUUGUUGGUGGGGUAAAGGCCCACCAAGGCGACGAUCCAUAGCUGGUCUGAGAGGAUGAUCAGCCACACUGGGACUGAGACACGGCCCAGACUCCUACGGGAGGCAGCAGUGGGGAAUAUUGGACAAUGGGCGAAAGCCUGAUCCAGCAAUACCGCGUGUGUGAAGAAGCC
Molecule: ribosomal RNA, 396 nt
Filed under: uncultured bacterium
Lineage: Bacteria
Description: bacterial SSU rRNA
Rfam family: Bacterial small subunit ribosomal RNA
Source: RNAcentral